UACGUAGGGUGCGAGCGUUGUCCGGAAUUAUUGGGCGUAAAGGGCUCGUAGGCGGUUUGUCACGUCGGGAGUGAAAACUCAGGGCUCAACCCUGAGCCUGCUUCCGAUACGGGCAGACUAGAGGUAUGCAGGGGAGAACGGAAUUCCUGGUGUAGCGGUGAAAUGCGCAGAUGUCAGGAGGAACACCGGUGGCGAAGGCGGUUCUCUGGGCCGUAACUGACGCUGAGGAGCGAAAGCGUGGGGAGCGAACAGG
RNAcentral lists this ribosomal RNA (253 nucleotides) under uncultured bacterium. RNAcentral describes it as "partial 16S ribosomal RNA". It matches the Rfam family "Bacterial small subunit ribosomal RNA", at positions 524 to 776 of the family's 1533-position model. The record is from RNAcentral.